Molecule: non-coding RNA, 74 nt
Organism: Aedes aegypti (yellow fever mosquito)
Lineage: Eukaryota; Metazoa; Arthropoda; Insecta; Diptera; Culicidae
Source: Rfam
CAUCUCAUGGUGUAGUGGUUAACGCGCCCCAACUAGAGAUCGGUGAGUCGUGAGUUCGAUUUUCACUGAGAAGA